Molecule: long non-coding RNA, 917 nt
Organism: Quercus robur (English oak)
Lineage: Eukaryota; Viridiplantae; Streptophyta; Magnoliopsida; Fagales; Fagaceae
Exons: 2
Source: RefSeq, a predicted model, not a curated record
UAAGCUUUUAAGUUCCAAGUUUUAGAAAGCCUUUUGUAAUAGCCUUCCCUCUCCCUUAGAAAGACUUUUGUACUCUCUCCCCCUCUUGUAAUCUUGUAACCUUUCUCUUCAGACGGUUUUAUUUUCAAGCUUGUAUCAAAGACAACAGUUUGUUUUCAAGUUUAUCAAAGACUGAAGUUUUUAUUCAAAUUGACUAAGCUAUGAGUCGCAACGCCUCAACAUCAAAUCGUACAAUGCAAAACAAGUUUGGAUCUACUUCAACAAAUGGAUUAUCACAAGUUCUAGCAGAUCAACAACUACAGACAUACACAUACCACUAUGGAGGGAAAUGGGUUGGAAAGAAGAGAGAUUUCCUUAAUAUGCCAAUAUACACGUAUAAGAGUCUUGGAAGCGUCAGGCACAUCAUGGUUGGCAAACCUACAAAACUAAGUACAGAUACCACCACAAUAGAGUUCACCGUAGUAGAACUACCAUGGUCAACCUUAUACGAGAAGAGGUGUGAGUUGGAGGUGUAUUGUCGAUGGCACGGGUUACGAAUUCCUAAGGCACGCUCAGCCGAGUUACCUAGAGAUGAUUCUGCCAACAUACUUGCUCGUCUUGAACAAGAGAAAAAUCAAAUGCAAAGGUGAUUAGACCGUUUUCAUGCAAUCCAAAAAGCUAAGAAGCAUCUAAAGGGGAAGGUGUAAGAGUGAGCCAUCAAGUCUAUUAAUGAAGUUACUGCGUUACAUGAUGAAAAAGAUAUUUCAGACUUCUCAGAUUCAAGCAAUGAUGAUUUCCAAAAAUUUCUACCUACGAAUAUUAGACAUUGUUGUUAAUGUCUACACGUUUUGUGCAAUACAAAAUGUUGUUGUUAAUGUCUAACAUUUGAUGAUUAUGUACAUUCAACUUUUGCAAAUCUAAAAAUUAACUGUUCAUUA